Fundulus heteroclitus (mummichog) is the source of this 855-nucleotide long non-coding RNA. RefSeq lists it as uncharacterized. NCBI's taxonomy places the organism in Eukaryota, Metazoa, Chordata, Actinopteri, Cyprinodontiformes, Fundulidae. The record is from RefSeq and is a predicted model, not a curated record. The transcript has 2 exons.
CGCACCGUAGCUCACCAGCCGCUCCCCUCCCCCUCCCGCCCCCACUCCGUCUCAUCGAGCAGCAGUUGCGUUCUCCAACAGCUACAGCUUAGGGCGUGCCCGCCUUCAACGGUAAUUAAAAGAACUCAUACAGAAAGCGAAUAAGACUAACGAUAUCUCCCAGUCAAGAGCAGAACAGCCCAAGCAGCCACAACUAGACAUCUUCCCUAGAACCUUUCAUGGGGACAGGAAAAGAUGUUUUUCUAAAGAGUGGUACAGCAGAUAUAAAUGGCUCGAAUAUUCUCAGAGUAAAGACUCUGCCUACUGUUAUGCCUGUCGUCACUUCAGUCUGCACUCCUCAGGUGAUUCUGUAUUUACAUCUGAAGAGGGCUUUAAAAAUUGGAAAAAGGCAACCUUUAAAGAUGGGGGACUUUUAGGCCAUGCCAAAUCUGAAGCCCAUACUAAUGCCAUGUUAGCAUGGGCAGAGUAUGAAAAAUCCACAGCAAGCACAUCCUCUCUCUCCGCUUCCUUAAAUGCAGAAUACAAUAAAUUGGUGAAGGAAAAUAGAGAGUACAUUCAAAUUAUUGGAGAAACAUUGCUCCUCACAGCUACACAGAACAUAGCACAGAGAGCACAUAAAGAAUCAGAUGGUGAGAAUAAAGGAAAUUUUCUCUCUAUUAUGGAACUGAUAGCCAAAAACAAUCCCACAGUCAAAAAAAAAGACAAGUCAAAGAAAUGCAACAUAUCUUGGGCACGCAAAAUGAAAUAAUUGAUUGUCUAGCUGAAAUGGUCCGCUCUUCAAUAACGAGUGAAGUUGCUCAAAGUGAGGCUUUCAGCAUCUUGGUUGAUGAGACUAAAGACCUCAGCAAAAAAGAA